RNAcentral lists this ribosomal RNA (405 nucleotides) under uncultured bacterium. RNAcentral describes it as "bacterial SSU rRNA". It matches the Rfam family "Bacterial small subunit ribosomal RNA", at positions 356 to 773 of the family's 1533-position model. The record is from RNAcentral.
GGGGAAUAUUGCACAAUGGGCGCAAGCCUGAUGCAGCAACGCCGCGUGAGGGACGACGGCCUUCGGGUUGUAAACCUCUUUUAGUAGGGAAGAAGCGAAAGUGACGGUACCUGCAGAAAAAGCACCGGCUAACUACGUGCCAGCAGCCGCGGUAAUACGUAGGGCGCAAGCGUUGUCCGGAAUUAUUGGGCGUAAAGAGCUCGUAGGCGGUUUGUCGCGUCUGCUGUGAAAACCCGAGGCUCAACCGCGGGCCGGCAGUGGGUACGGGCAGACUAGAGUGCGGUAGGGGAGAUUGGAACUCCUGGUGUAGCGGUGGAAUGCGCAGAUAUCAGGAAGAACACCGAUGGCGAAGGCAGAUCUCUGGGCCGUAACUGACGCUGAGGAGCGAAAGCAUGGGGAGCGAAC